RNA transcript from Solea senegalensis (Senegalese sole), 3677 nucleotides. It is a transcript of the gene named WD repeat, SAM and U-box domain-containing protein 1-like, with no coding region annotated. NCBI's taxonomy places the organism in Eukaryota, Metazoa, Chordata, Actinopteri, Pleuronectiformes, Soleidae. The transcript is spliced from 12 exons. The record is from RefSeq and is a predicted model, not a curated record.
GUGACACUCAUCACAGGCACCUGUUCAGGUGAGGCGCUUCAGCUUAUUCUCGGGUGUUUAUUAUCAGCUCCAGUCUUCUUCUUUCCAAGACGCAUUUUUGAGAGUUUUGCGCCCCCUUGUGCGUGAAGAGCUUCCUCCGCACACACACAUAAACACACACGGACACAAAAUGGUGUCACUAGUUUGUACUCUUGGACAGCACACGGACGAGCUGAGCUGCUGCGCCUUCUCUCCGGCCCUGCUCGCCACCUGCUCCGCGGAUAAAACGCUCCGUGUUUACAGCACCGCAGAGUUCACCGAGCUCCCCUUCUCUCCUCUCUCCGGCCACGGAUAUGGCGUUCACUGCUGCUGUUUCAGCUCCUGUGGUCGCUUCCUGCUCAGCUGCUCCACAGACGGAUCCAUCAUCGUGUGGAGGUUGGACACAGGUGAGGCGGCGGAGGUGCUACAGCACCCGGGCCGCAGUCCACUCCGAGUGUGCGCACUGGCUCCGGUCUCCUCUCUGCUGCUGGCUGGAGCCUGCGAUGGCACCGUGGCUCUCUGGGACUUCUCCUGCAAGACACUGCGCAGAUGCAGCACAGUGAGCGAUGCCAGCGUCGUGGCUUGCUGCUUUUCUCCGUGUGGCCAGCUCUUCGUGACCGGCUGCAGCCGCGGAGACCUCAAACUGUGGGACGCCAACAUCAGCCUCCUGCAUGCGGAGAGGGACGCUCACGACAUGGGAGUCACCUGCUGCAGCGCCGCAGCCCGCUUCAGAGUGGUCGGCUGCUGUCUGGAGUUCCGAAUGGCCUCCUGUGGACAGGACAGCCAGCUGAAAAUAUGGAUCGUUUCCCAGCGUGAAGGAGCAGCCUUCGCCAUGAAGCUCCUUCACACGCUCACCACCCAUUUGGCUCCAGUCCUGUCUUGUGCUCUCUCUUCUGAUGGAGACCUGGUCGUCUCGGGUUCAGUGGAUAAAAGUAUUUUGAUUCAUGACGUGAACCAGGGAACCCUGCUCCACACUUUGAAGCAGCACAAUAGGUAUGUGACCGCUGUAGCUCUGUCUCCCAAUAAGCCGUGGAUUGCGACCGGCUCCAUGGACCGAACUGUGAAAGUUUGGAGAAUAGGAGAGGGAGACGGCACAACGGCAGCUGAGUCAAGUCAGACGGCGUGCCAAGGAAGGAAGUUGCCGGGUCACUUCAGGUUGCUGGUUGCCGAUUGGUCGGAGGAGGAUGUGCAGACAUGGUUGCACGAGGAAGGACUCGGGGAGCUCGUCGGCGUCUUCAAAGCCAACAACAUCGACGGACCAGAACUCGGCCAUCUGAGUAAGGAAACUGUCGCAGAGCUGGGAAUUGAGUCGGUGGGCCUCCGCGGUCGUCUCCUGAGGAAGAUCCAGGCCUUGAAGGCAGAGCACAGCGACUCUGAGGCUCCGGAUGAGUUUCUGUGUCCAAUCACGAGAGAGCUGAUGAAGGAUCCAGUCAUUGCUGCAGACGGUUAUUCCUACGAGCGAGAAUCCAUCGAGAGCUGGAUCAGAGGAAAGAACAGAACCAGCCCCAUGACGAAUCUGCUCCUACAGACUACACUUCUCACGCCCAACAGGUCGCUGAAGAUGGCAAUAGCACGAUGGCAGUCGAGCCUGUAAGCAGCAGCAGCAGCAGCAGCAGCUACUCGUUUUAGUGUUUGUCAGAAUCCACUGAACAGUGUCUGCAUGUGCGUGUGAGAUGGGUUGGAGGUGUGCCUGUUUGACUGAAUGACAUGUGUGAGUGAGUCUAGGUGGAUCCUGGGAGCUGAUUGUUCCUGCACAGGUGGAAUCCAGAGAAGAGGCCUGAACACCCCAGCAGCAGUGGACUCACUCAAACCACUCACAGCCACACUGCCAGCAGACAUUUUCUACUUGGUUUUAAUAAACCUUUGAAAUGAUGUGGUUUCUUGGGAGUUUGGAAGAGGGAGUCUCCUUAGUCUUCGUGCGAUCAGGUUUCCCCCUAGGCCUGCUCGUAACUAUUGUCCUCGGUGAUAUGAACGUCCACUUAGACAGUCCCUGCUCUUCAGACUUCCUAUCGCUGAUUCACUCCUUUGCACUGCAGCGGGUUCACAGCCCUCCAACUCACCACACUGCCAAAGACCUUGAUCUCAUUCUAACCACAAAUUGUUCCACAGACACUCACACUCACACCUUUACACUACUCUGACUACAAUUUUACAGCAGAGCAGCUUGGAAAUAUGGAACAUUAAUACACUGCAGGAAAGGGAAUGAUUGCACAUUACCUUGUACAGUAGGUUUCCCUCCUCCAUCAGCUUCUGAAGCAGAAUGAUCAGAAUAUCAGGUUUGGAAGUAGCCAUGGCCCAAGCAGCAUUCCCUGUAGGUGGAAAGGGGAAGGACACAAGUCAAGACAGAUUGGGUCAAGUGCUUGUCAUUGUUCCCAACACAUGGUCACUGUAUUCUCUGGAAAUUGGUACAAGGCAAAGUUACCUAAAGAUUGUACCUGAUCGAUCGUAAGGCGACGUUCGGUAGCCUUAGUUUAUUGAAAGCAGUUAAGAAAGAGUUAGAAUGGAGAGAGUGAGGAGAAAAUAGGUUUGACAACAAGAGCAGUCACUUAUGGUGGAAUGAAAAUGUGGCGUGCCAAUGUGCAAUUAUGUGUCACUCAAAUUCAAAUGGCCUUGUAUUUUCAGCUCUAAACACAUGCAGACUUAACUGUGCUGAAAGGAAAAUUUAAAGGUCCAACAUGCUGCUAAUUUAUUAGUUUUCUAGGACAGCAGAGUGCACUGCAGAUAAGCCAUGGAGUCGAUCUCCUCUAUGAAUGUCAUUUAGGUGAUAAGACACAUGCUUAAAUUAGCUGAGGAGCACAUGAGGAUGGACACACACACCGACAAGUUAAAUAGACAAAGUGUGCAAAGACACAAGCAGAACAGUGAGGGGGAAAAGCAGUAAUGGAAACAGUCACAGUGUUUGUUUGUUUUCCUUUACAACCUUCCACAUAAUGUCUUUUUAGUACCAUGAACACACUAAGCAGGUGAGACACAAACAUACUCAGUAACCAAACUAAUUACUGAGAGUAAUUAAAGUACACAAAGUCGUCUUCUUACCCAGCUUGGCCCCUUUCUUCAGCAGAGUCACCACCACCGACGUGUUCCUGCAGCCUAUGGCUCGGUCCAGUGGCCUCAUCCCACUGUGGUCAACAUGCUCGAUCACUGCUCCUCUUUCCACCAAGUACUGGACCUACACGAGAGCACGAGCGAGUUAAAAACACACCGUGUGUGUGUGUGUGAGAGUCGAGGGCGAGGCUAAUGUGGAACGACCUGUGCUCAAUGAGAGAACAGGGACACUCUCAUUCAAAGCUAAACAAACUAUGUGUCAGGCAUGUGAGCGCUACUACGAGAUGGGAUGUUUUCCACAAACUCUCCACUACUUUUACUCACAAUCUCGGCAUCGCCAUAAAAGGCAGCAAGGUCCAGCGGCGUCCGUCCGUUUUUGUCCGUGUGGUCAAUGACGGCGCCUUUCUCCACCAAAUACUGCACUACAUUCUUUUGUCCUUUUAAACAUGCCCAGCUCAGGGGCAUCAGUCCCUCCUUGUCCAUCGAUGUUAAGGAUGCACCUACAAGACAAACAAUACUUUUAUACAACAAUUUCAUUAUUCUCACCAACUGUCAUUGUCAUGGAUAUGUGAAUGUAUAACCUUUAUGAAUACAGGAUCCUUCAUUUACUGUGA